This is a long non-coding RNA of Sapajus apella (tufted capuchin), 633 nucleotides long. RefSeq lists it as uncharacterized. Lineage: Eukaryota; Metazoa; Chordata; Mammalia; Primates; Cebidae. The record is from RefSeq and is a predicted model, not a curated record. The transcript has 2 exons.
AUGUAAAUGGACUAAAUGCCCCAAUCAUAAGACACACACUGGCAAAUUGGAUUAAAAAGUGGCCCCAUUCUUAAAAGGCUUCCAGCUUAGUUGGGGAGAUAGCAAAUAUGGUCAGGUAAUUUUUAAAUCAAAACUAGAGAAAUUUGUAACUGUAACAUGGAAUGAGAAAAUUGGACUUUGAAUCUCUAUUCCUACUGAAGAUUAGCCAUGAAUUCUGAUGUGAAAGAACUCAUGACUUUAGCUAAGGCAUCCUAUUGACUAGCGGAAGUUUCUGCAAUAAAGGAAAUGUUUGAUUAUCUGUGUCAUCCAAUAAGAUAGCCACUAACUACAUGUGGCCUUUGAGCCUCUGAAACAUGAUUAGUGCAAUUGAGAAGCUAAAUGUUUAAUUUAAUUUAUAUUAAAUUAAAAUAAUCACACACGAAAAGGACAAGAUACUCAGCAUCAUAGCUCAUUAGGGAAGUGCAAAAUAAAAUCAAAUUAAGACACUACUAUACACCUUUUAGAAUUGCUAAAACAAAACAACUGAUAAUACAACAUGCUGGUGAAUAUGUGGGACAACUGGAGCAAAACUCGUAUGUUUCUGGUGGAAAUACAAAACAAGAUAGUCACUUUAGAAAACAGUUUUCAAAAAAA